RNAcentral lists this small nucleolar RNA (183 nucleotides) under Tetrapisispora phaffii CBS 4417. The record is from RNAcentral. Lineage: Eukaryota; Fungi; Ascomycota; Saccharomycetes; Saccharomycetales; Saccharomycetaceae.
CACUUUGUCCAAAAGUUAUCCACCGCUAUAGACAGUACGAGGACUGAGCCAAUUCCCACUCAGUUCAACGUGAUAAGCGGUUUUUAAGGAGAGAAUAAAUUGUUACUCAUUAAGAACUCGAGUGGAGUCUGGGUCAGGAUUCCUGGCCACAUGAGACUCGAGUGUCAGAGAGUGCCUAUAUUA